Molecule: ribosomal RNA, 1294 nt
Filed under: uncultured bacterium
Lineage: Bacteria
Description: bacterial SSU rRNA
Rfam family: Bacterial small subunit ribosomal RNA
Source: RNAcentral
UUAGUGGCGGACGGGUGAGUAACGCGUGGGUAACCUGCCUCACACUGGGGGACAACAGUUAGAAAUGACUGCUAAUACCGCAUAAGCGCACGGAAUCGCAUGAUUCAGUGUGAAAAACUCCGGUGGUGUGAGAUGGACCCGCGUCUGAUUAGCUAGUUGGUGAGGUAACGGCCCACCAAGGCGACGAUCAGUAGCCGGCCUGAGAGGGUGAACGGCCACAUUGGGACUGAGACACGGCCCAAACUCCUACGGGAGGCAACAGUGGGGAAUAUUGGACAAUGGGGGAAACCCUGAUCCAGCGACGCCGCGUGAGUGAAGAAGUAUUUCGGUAUGUAAAGCUCUAUCAGCAAGGAAGAAAAUGACGGUACUUGACUAAGAAGCUCCGGCUAAAUACGUGCCAGCAGCCGCGGUAAUACGUAUGGAGCAAGCGUUAUCCGGAUUUACUGGGUGUAAAGGGAGCGUAGACGGCAAAGCAAGUCUGAAGUGAAAUGCCGGGGCUUAACCCCGGAACUGCUUUGGAAACUGUUUAGCUAGAGUGCAGGAGAGGUAAGCGGAAUUCCUAGUGUAGCGGUGAAAUGCGUAGAUAUUAGGAGGAACACCAGUGGCGAAGGCGGCUUACUGGACUGUAACUGACGUUGAGGCUCGAAAGCGUGGGGAGCAAACAGAAUUAGAUACCCUGGUAGUCCACGCUGUAAACGAUGAAUUACUAGGUGGUGGGGACCACAGGUCUUCGGUGCCCGCACCAAACGCAAUAAUUAUUCCACCGGGGGAGACCGUUCGCCAGAAUGAAACUCAAUAGGGAUAUGACGGGGACCCCCACAAGCCGGUGGAGCAUGUGGUUUAAUACGAAGCAAACGCGAAGAUCCUUACCAAAUCUUGACAUCCCUCUGACAAUCUAUGUAAAGUAGACUUUCUUCGGAACAGAGGAGACAGGUGGUGCAUGGUUGUCGUCAGCUCGUGUCGUGAGAUGUUGGGUUAAGUCCCGCAACGAGCGCAACCCUUGCCUUUAGUAGCCAGCGGUUCGGCCGGGCACUCUAGAGGGACUGCCAGGGAUAACCUGGAGGAGGGUGGGGAUGACGUCAAAUCAUCAUGCCCCUUAUGAUUUGGGCUACACACGUGCUACAAUGGCGUAAACAAAGAGAAGCGAAACUGUGAGGUGGAGCAAAUCUCAAAAAUAACGUCUCAGUUCGGAUUGUAGUCUGCAACUCGACUACAUGAAGCUGGAAUCGCUAGUAAUCGCGAAUCAGAAUGUCGCGGUGAAUACGUUCCCGGGUCUUGUACUCACCGCCCGUCA